Molecule: ribosomal RNA, 942 nt
Filed under: Paecilomyces niveus
Lineage: Eukaryota; Fungi; Ascomycota; Eurotiomycetes; Eurotiales; Thermoascaceae
Description: eukaryotic LSU rRNA
Rfam family: Eukaryotic large subunit ribosomal RNA
Source: RNAcentral
GAAACCAACAGGGAUUGCCCUAGUAACGGCGAGUGAAGCGGCAAGAGCUCAAAUUUGAAAUCUGGCCCCUCCGGGGUCCGAGUUGUAAUUUGCAGAGGAUGCUUCGGGUGCGGUCCCCAUCUAAGUGCCCUGGAACGGGCCGUCAUAGAGGGUGAGAAUCCCGUCUGGGAUGGGUGGCCGUGCCCGUGUGAAGCUCCUUCGACGAGUCGGGUUGUUUGGGAAUGCAGCUCUAAAUGGGUGGUAAAUUUCAUCUAAAGCUAAAUAUUGGCCGGAGACCGAUAGCGCACAAGUAGAGUGAUCGAAAGAUGAAAAGCACUUUGAAAAGAGAGUUAAACAGCACGUGAAAUUGUUGAAAGGGAAGCGCUUGCGACCAGACUCGCCCGCGGGGGUUCAGCCGGUACUCGUACCGGUGUAUUCCCCCGUGGGCGGGCCAGCGUCGGUUUGGGCGGCCGGUCAAAGGCCCCCGGAAUGUGUCGCCUCUCGGGGCGUCUUAUAGCCGGGGGUGCAAUGCGGCCAGCCUGGACCGAGGAACGCGCUUCGGCACGGACGCUGGCGUAAUGGUCGUAAGCGGCCCGUCUUGAAACACGGACCAAGGAGUCUAACAUCUACGCGAGUGUUCGGGUGUCAAACCCGUCCGCGCAGUGAAAGCGAACGGAGGUGGGAACCUUUCGGGGUGCACCAUCGACCGAUCCUGAUGUCUUCGGAUGGAUUUGAGUAAGAGCGUAGCUGUUGGGACCCGAAAGAUGGUGAACUAUGCCUGAAUAGGGCGAAGCCAGAGGAAACUCUGGUGGAGGCUCGCAGCGGUUCUGACGUGCAAAUCGAUCGUCAAAUUUGGGUAUAGGGGCGAAAGACUAAUCGAACCAUCUGGUAGCUGGUUCCUGCCGAAGUUUCCCUCAGGAUAGCAGUAACGUUUUCAGUUUUAUGAGGUAAAGCGAAUGAUUA